GACGAACGCUGGCGGCGUGCCUAAUACAUGCAAGUAGAACGCACAGUUUAUACCGUAGCUUGCUACACCAUAGACUGUGAGUUGCGAACGGGUGAGUAACGCGUAGGUAACCUGCCUGGUAGCGGGGGAUAACUAUUGGAAACGAUAGCUAAUACCGCAUAAUAUUGAUUAUUGCAUGAUAAUUGAUUGAAAGAUGCUAUUGCAUCACUACCAGAUGGACCUGCGUUGUAUUAGCUAGUAGGUGAGGUAACGGCUCACCUAGGCGACGAUACAUAGCCGACCUGAGAGGGUGAUCGGCCACACUGGGACUGAGACACGGCCCAGACUCCUACGGGAGGCAGCAGUAGGGAAUCUUCGGCAAUGGACGAAAGUCUGACCGAGCAACGCCGCGUGAGUGAAGAAGGUUUUCGGAUCGUAAAGCUCUGUUGUAAGAGAAGAACGGGUGUGAGAGUGGAAAGUUCACACUGUGACGGUAUCUGACCAGAAAGGGACGGCUAACUACGUG
RNAcentral lists this ribosomal RNA (505 nucleotides) under uncultured bacterium. Its description in RNAcentral is "partial 16S ribosomal RNA". It matches the Rfam family "Bacterial small subunit ribosomal RNA", at positions 28 to 507 of the family's 1533-position model. The record is from RNAcentral.